AACGAACGCUGGCGGCGUGCCUAAGACAUGCAAGUCGUGCGGAAAGGCUCCUUCGGGAGUACUCGAGCGGCGCACGGGUGAGUAACACGUGGGUAACCUACCUGAGGGUCUGGGAUAACUCCGGGAAACUGGGGCUAAUACCAGAUGAGACCACAGCGUCUUCGGGCGCAGCGGUCAAAGAUGGCCUCUCCUUGGAAGCUAUCGCCUACAGAUGAGCCCCGNGUCCCAUAGCUAGUUGGCGGGGUAACGGCCACCAAGGCGACGAUGGGUAGCUGGUCUGAGAGGAUGAUCAGCCACACUGGAACUGAGACACGGUCCAGACUCCUACGGGAGGCAGCAGUCGGGAAUUUUGGGCAAUGGGCGAAAGCUGACGCAGCGACGCCGCGUGGGGGA
Molecule: ribosomal RNA, 393 nt
Filed under: uncultured bacterium
Lineage: Bacteria
Description: bacterial SSU rRNA
Rfam family: Bacterial small subunit ribosomal RNA
Source: RNAcentral